This 253-nucleotide unclassified non-coding RNA is filed under the name uncultured Planctomycetota bacterium. RNAcentral describes it as "uncultured planctomycete contains 16S-23S intergenic spacer region". It matches the Rfam family "Bacterial small subunit ribosomal RNA", at positions 524 to 776 of the family's 1533-position model. The record is from RNAcentral. Lineage: Bacteria; Pseudomonadati; Planctomycetota.
UACGUAGGUGGCAAGCGUUAUUCGGAAUCACUGGGCAUAAAGCGCGUGUAGGCGGCCGCUCAAGUCGGGUGUGAAAUCCCACGGCUCAACCGUGGAACUGCGCCCGAUACUGUGUGGCUCGAGGCUGGUAGGGGAGAGUGGAAUUCCUGGUGGAGCGGUGAAAUGCGUUGAUAUCAGGAGGAACGCCGGCGGCGAAAGCGGCUCUCUGGUCCAGUUCUGACGCUGAGACGCGAAAGCCAGGGGAGCAAACGGG